This 666-nucleotide ribosomal RNA is filed under the name Parachtes limbarae. RNAcentral describes it as "12S ribosomal RNA". The record is from RNAcentral. Lineage: Eukaryota; Metazoa; Arthropoda; Arachnida; Araneae; Dysderidae.
CUAAAUUAAUAUAAUCAGUAAUUUAACAUUAUAAAAUUACGAUUCACAAUCAAUUCCAACCUAACAAUAUUUUUACUUACCAUAUCUAAAGUCUUUAUAUAAAAGGUAAUAAAAUUUGUGCCAGCAAUUGCGGUUAAACAAUAACCCUAAUUAAAUUUCCUCUAAUUACCAUUUUAUUAAAAAAAUACUAAUUAAUAGUAAAAUAUAAUUAAACAUAACUUGUUAGUAAUUUUAAACUUUAAAUAAACUAGGAUUAGAUACCCUACUAUUUUAAGAAAUAUUAAGGUAGUAACCUUUAUAGAAAAACCUAUAUAUUUUGGCGGCGAAAAAUCUUAAAGGAACUUGUUUUUUAAUCGAUAAUACUCGUUAAAUUUCUCCUUACCACAAAGCUUAUAUACCGCCGUAUUAAAUAAACUUUACACACUUUCAUUUAAACUUCUUUUAAAAAAUCAGGUCAAGGUGUAGCCAAUACUAAGUGAUAAAAUUAGUUACUUAUAAAAAAAUUUAUAGAAUAAAUAUAAAUAUUAAAAAAAUAGGAUUUAAACACAAUUUAUUAUUAAUAUUUAUAAAUGAAAUUCAAUUAUCGUGCACAUAUCGCCCGUCACCCUCUAUAAACACAGAGGUAAGUCGUAACACAGUUGAUGCUCUGGAAAGAGCCUCAUGCUC